Molecule: long non-coding RNA, 14458 nt
Organism: Columba livia (rock pigeon)
Lineage: Eukaryota; Metazoa; Chordata; Aves; Columbiformes; Columbidae
Exons: 16
Source: RefSeq, a predicted model, not a curated record
CUCAGCUCGCUUCCUGGUUAUGCCUGGGAACAAGAAGUAGGAAGCACCAUAAAUCUUGUGAAAAAGCUUCCUCUGGCAAGUUUCCUAGCCCAGCUUUGCUGAUCGUUGAGUUUUGGAUCAUCUGGAUAAACUUCGUGAUGAAGAACAGCCCGUGCCUGGAUUUCCAUAUGAAGAGCAGGACCUCUGGACAGCCUGAUGCCACCUACCCCUGCCACCAUGGGAAGCUCAGUAAAGCCCAGCUUCAUAGUAGAGAGCCAGCUUAUGAGUGACCAACAGCACCUCCUGGCGUGGUGCUACGGAAAUCGGUGCAAUGCCAAAGAUUCAAAAUCGGGUAUUAAGUCAUGGUAGAAGAUCAUCAGUUGAGCCAGGAUGUGGAAGUCACCUUUAGAAACAAUUUGCUCUAGCUGUGGUUUGAAAAGGGGCGAUCAUGCCCCUGCCCAAGGCUGCUGUUGAGUCUCUCAGCUGAUGUUGAUGAUGCUGGAUGGUGAUACGUACCCAGCACCAGCGUGGGCAGCUCUGUGUGUGACUCGGUGUCACCAGGAGAAGCUACGAUGGUUUUAUUGGAGAAUAUCCAUUGGUUAGCACUGCCUCAUCUGACAGCAGCAGUUCACAGGAAUUAAUGGAAAAGAAGGUAAAUUAAUCAGCAAUACUAAUGAAAAUGGUUGUCUGUGCGCCACUGAAACCAUCCUUCCAAAUAGAAGUGAUCACUCUGGCAAGCCAGGAACAGAAUCAGCUCCGUGUCACUGACGUGAGCGGUUGUGCAGCACAGGUCGAUAAUCGAUGUGAAGAGUUCACAAGUGAUCUGCCAGCUGAAAUACGUUCAUGUAAAGCUACGAAAUUUGAAUAUAGUCAAAUGUGCAGAAAAAAAUAAUCAAAGCCUGUUUCCCUGUCACUAGAAAAUGGAAAAAAAAGAAGUUUGAGCAAGGUGAAUUUGUGGACUUCCUUCCUGCAAGAUGGUAUCAGGACAAGGCGUGAAGCUGGAUAUCUGAAAAAGAUCAAGACAAUUUUCUGAACAUUGGUACGCAAGUGCUCUGUGACCAGUGCGAGUCUGAUGGCCAGCAGAAGUCCUUGGUAGAAGACCAAGCCAUACUUUCUCCCCUGGAUACAUUCUGCAACCAAAGAGGUUUAAACCUGCAUCCAGACUUGGCUCAAGCAUUGCUAUUGAUACACAGAGGAACCUGAAAUGCUGCUGGUUAUCUGCAGCUCAGUGUUUUGCCUCUCUGACAUGCGAUGAAAGGGGUAUGGUCCUUAUGAGGAUGAGGUGGGUGAUGAAGGCUGCUUCCCCAGGAGCAGAGGCUGGGGAUGAAGGGGAACGUGGCUGGAAAUGAUGCUGUGCCUGCACUUCCUAGGGCUGGGGAAGGCCACACACUUCCCAGUGAGGCUGUGGUCCUGGCUGCUGUAGCUCCUACAUCCAUGUGCUGUGUCCAUGUGAUGGAAAAUACGAGAGAAAACACGGUCCCAAACAGACAGGCUUUCCUCCUGUGCGGGCUUUAGUAAGAAGCAGCCUUAAAGCCUAACUAAGAACAUAGUCGCCCUGCUUUAGGGCUUGUGUUAGGCUUUCUGCCGCAUGUGGAUGCAUCAUCUGGAUACUGGUGUGGGAGUAGCUGCCCAGUGCAGCGGCGUCCUGCAAGCGCUCCUUGAGGUUUGGGAAGGGGCGGGCAGCUCCCUGGGAUAAGUGCUGUUGUGCGGUUUGGAUGUGGUGGAGCCUCAGUAUCCACAAUUUAAGGGCAACAGUCCUUUUGCAUCACUUGUGCACUGAAGCAGUGCAGAGCCGGUGAGGCUGAGUUCUCCUUAACAUGGACCCCCCAUAAUCUUGGGCACGUUGCAUUCACUGCGUGGCUCUCAGCGGUUGUGGCUGAGGUAUCAUUUUUCUCAAGAUAAGCUGAAGUUGUGUGCGUUGCUGGAUGACUUUUAUCUUGCGAUCACAGGCAUUGUGCACUCUGAGUGUGAAAGGAACUGUUUUGCUUUAUAACUUGGAUAUGAGGAAGGAUUAUUUUGCAAGAGGUCAUGGGAGAGUGAGAGAAGUUACGAGCAAGUUGUGCCCUCUGGAAUAUGCUGUGGGAUGAAGAUGUGGAGAGUGAUAUCUUCACUUUUCUCCCUUUCCCUUUUCUGUUGAUGAUUCAGACUAGGAAUGAUCUGGUGGGUUUUAUGUAAGAAAAGAUGUUAGGCUGAUCUCAAACAAAAGGAGAAAAGCAAGUCGGUGUUCCAAGUGCAUUUGUGGUUCAGUUGAAUGAAAGCCUAGUCUUGCCAACUCAUGGUUUGAUCGUCAGUGCCAUGAUGCAUAGUUGUUUCUUAUAGCUCCAGGUCUUGAGCUAUGGAAGGUCUUAAAAUAUAUUCUACACCCUGCCCCCCCCUUCACCUGUAGGUUUCAUGAUUUCAAAGAAAAUAUAGGAAACAUGACCUCAGUGUACCCUCAGGACUGAAGUACUGGAAGGCAAUGGAUUAAAAACUGGCUCAGAUUGCGAAGUGAGAAGAUGUCUAUAUACUUUUCAGUAUUGCUAAUUCAGACUUUGGAUGCUACAAGAGAAGUUCCCAGAGCUGAGAUUUGAAAAGCAUCUUUGAGACACCUAUUUGUAACUCCAUGGACUGAACUUAAGUGGGUGAGAGUUGAGUUUGUACAAGUGUCAUGGAGACCUGCAUUGCUGAUGUAAAGGCAGGAAAGCAGCUUUUGCAAAUUCCCCCCCCCCCCACCUUUUCCUAUUUUUCUUAAAACUAAGGUUUGAUUAAGGGGGGAAGAAAAGUUUAAAUCUCUGCUUGUAGUAUGACAGAGAAAUAUAUGCAUACAUGUAGUGAAUAAUUUGUUUGAUUACUAUCAAUGCUAUUGGGUGUUCAUGUACAGAGUUACCAUCCCCACAUAGAAAAUGCAUCAACCAGUACACCACUUACUACUUUAAGAGAGUUGAAAGUUGCAUAUGGGUUUUGAAGUAUGGUAAAUGCAGUCAUACAAUGCCAAUAAACAAAUGAAUUCUCUAAAAUGAAUGAAAAAUCUCUUACUUCUAUUCCUGCCCUUGAGAAGGGGCUUGGGAGCGUGAAAGGUAUUUUGUCUCUUCUUGCUGUAUCAGUUGGUCUAGUAAAGAAAUUUCCUUGGAAAGGAGAUAGAAGCUGUAUUCUGUAGUCAAUAAGUUAUGGGCUGGUUUCUGGGUGGCAGUGAAGGGCAAGGUUGGGUUAGACUAUAGCAGAGGUAUUUGCCAGGGUGCGUUUGCUGACGGUGAUUGGGGCCAUCAAUGAGAAUGACACUGGGGAGCAUCCACCUGUAUGUUUAAAACAUGCUCUGUGGAUUCAGAUGUGAAGCAGGACAGAAGGAAUACAAAAAGACAUGAAAGGAGUACAAGAACUUCUCCCAAAGGUGAGAUUUUUGGACACAAUAAUCUGUUUCUUUCAGGCUGUGUUAAAGUAAAUAGGUUAAUAACUGUUUUGCUUUUUACCAUUAAUCCUGCUUCUGAUUUGCAUGUAGGUGUAUUUAUAAGUUUUCCAUGUAAUUCCAGAGAGACAGGGGUGGACUUAAAGUUCCACGAAUCCACCCUAAUUUCAGUGUAACCUGACAAAGUUUAUGCAGAAACACUGCAGAGCAAGACGGCGCUGAUCUCUCCUGCCUCUGCCAUGUGUCAAAACAGUGAUUUGGAGCAUGGAAGCAAACGUGUGUGAUGGUUCCGUGGUAGGUCCUGCGAGCAUUGAAGGGCUCUGUGCUACUCUGCAGGGCUUGUUCUGAUACACUUUUAAUAUCAAUUUCUCUGUUGUAAUAGGGAGGUUGUUUUUUUUUUGUUUAGUUGGUUGGGUUUUCUUAAAUUGAGCCUAAUUUAUGAGAUCAGGAAUUCCUGGCGUACACCAUAUUUCCUCUAGUUCAAACAUAAGGGAUAAAACCAAAGGGCAAGUCUGAGUUUGGGGAAUAGAGAAUAACAAUUUGAAUGUAAUCAUGUUAUCUGCUCAAACAUCGCACCUCAUGGUCCCAGGCAGAACCCGCCACCUUUCCAAAGAGAGAGUGUCAGAGAUGCAGAGAGCUGGUAAGAUGAGAGGGGCAGAAAAGCCAAGAACAGGGCAAGAAUAAAUACUGGUUUUACAAAGCCUGAAGUGGUGGGAGCAUCUAGUGAUUAGACUAUCAAGCCUUCGAUCUAUAAAUAAUGGUACCAUGUUUAUUCCCUCCAGGGCCCCGUUGUCAAAAAGACUUUUUUUUCCCCUUGUCAGCCAGAGACAGACAGACGUGGUUUGUCUGAGUGAGAACUAAGCAUGUGCCCCUUUCCCAGGGCUUGUCGUAGCCGUGGGGAUGUGGGUCUGACAGGGAAAGGUGCAUUUCAAGUGGACCUUUUCAGGAGGUGAAUUCAUUGUCGUUUAAAAGAAUCAGAUGAUUUACAGUGCCUGUUUAUUGGCAAAAGUUAACGUCUUUCUCUGUCUUUUUGUAUACUUAGAAGAGACAUAAUAGCCUGGUCAUGUGCUGGAAAGAAAUGACUCAUUUCAUAUUGGGUCUAAGUGAAACUAAUGUAUUACUCAUUUUUAUGCAACUCUAGUAAAUUGUACUUAUUAAAAAGGGGGAGAAAAUUAAUUUAGAAAUAUGGUUGACCUCAGCUUCCUCAUAGUGAAAAUCUGCUGACAAAUCUUGUGAUUUUUUGUUUCUCUUUUGAAAGCAGUCCUCAGGGUUGCUAUCGUAGUUCAGUUGUCAGGACCAGCUACUGGUACAAGUCCUGGCUGGAUGAUUUUACCAUUGUUCCUCCAAAGAGAGACUUCCAGAUUCAUUCUUCUGAGCUUCGUGCACUGCUUGUUGCUAAAGCAUCCGAGUCUGACCCCAUUGCCGAGGUCUGCUGGUGGUGUGUGCUACAGCCCUGCAGGCUGCUGAACCAUGAAUGCGGCUUCAGCGGCUCCCAAUGUGGCUGCUGCUCGUUCUUCUAAUGACACUAAAAUCUUGUGAGGCGUCCAUGCACCCAGGUCAAAUAAGAUAAUUUUAACAGCACUGAGCACUACUUCUCUUCAGUCAUGCUUGCAGUGCGUAUGGGUAGCAGCCUCAUGCACCACUAAGCUGAGAUUAACACCAGAAAGAAGGUUCUGUGCUCUUUGAUGGAAAAAAUGGGACACCAGUGAUUUCCAUUCAUACCUGCUGACUGUACAGAAUGGGAGACGCUGUUGUGCCUCAGUCCUUAGGUCCUCGUGGUGAAGAAAAGCACUGCAAGAAAAAUAUUUACAAGACAAAAUGGAAAUAUGGUUUCCUCCCGUUGUCGGUCCAAACUUUACCCCAGUUCUCGGAGAGCUGUGAAAUGUUGUGCUUUAUUAGUGCCCAGAUAAUGAUGGGAAAAAAAAUGUAAUUUUCUUUUUCAGGUUUCUUUAUUCAUUUUAUCAAUUAAGAAAAAAACGAAAUGUCUGGCGUUUGCUAGUAAGGUAACUAUAACAUUUUUAAAAGGCCUUGGCAUGUAGUGUAGUGUAAUGAAUGAUCUGAUUUUCAUUGUUUGUUGCAUUUCUAAUUAAAAAUUUAGUGCAAUGUGAAUGGCUUUAUAGAAAAAAAAAAAAAAAAAAAGACAAAGGAUCAAUAGCCAGAUGGCAUAUAGCUGCAGAAAGUAGCCGUGGAGACCCAGGCAAAGGGAAACCGGAGUUCAACAAAUUCACUGCUUCUUUAUAAAAAUCACACGGAUGAGUCAGCAGAACAAGCUCUUCUCUCAUCUAAAAAUGUUAAUCUAGGAGAUUUUCACAGCUGCAACAAUUUCAGGCCCCAGUGAGGAGGGGCUGGCGUGGGGACAGGGCACAGCUGUCCUGGUGGCCAUGGUGGGGCUGGGACCCAGCGCGCGGCUCCUCUCAACACUUGCGUGGAGCGGUGCUGGUCGUGGAGCGGUGCUGGUCAUGGAGCCAUGCUCACCGUGGGGCAGUGCUUGUUGUGGCCGUGGGAGAGCAGAUGGAGCACAAUUGCUGAUUCAUGGGGAGCUGCUCCGCACAAACCUGGGGCUGCGGCUGGUCCAGGUGCAUGAACAGGGGCAGCCUUGGCAGUCAGAGUGAUGGGUGACUGGGGUUCACAUCUGCGGGAUUUACUGUUCUGGUUGUGGCUAGAGUUGUGCCAACCCUUUCAUUUUUCGUUUGGUUGGUUUUGUUGUAUUUCCUUUUUAAAAAAUACUUUUUUGAAUGCUAUGUAUUUACUCCAGUGACUUACUCUGUCAGCCUUUCCUUGGCAAAGCAGCCUCACCUCCCCAGCAGUGACUCAGGAUGCUUGUCUGCCUGGCUCAGGCUUUCUCUCCUUCUCUUUGUGUCACCGUACACCCUUUCUCUCCCUCCCUAGCAUUUUCAGCAGUGGAACUUGUUGAAAAACAUUACCAUCUUCUUCAGUCUUUGACAUUCUCUGACCCACUCCUCUGAGCCACACUUGGCUGAUCAGAAUCUCAAACAAACUCCUUCACCCUCUGAUGCAGUGUUGGGAUGAUCAGUGCUCAAAUCCCAGAGAUCUCUCUUUCUUAAGAGGUUAAAGAGAAUCAUUUUUGAAAACUUUAGCGUUCCACCAAGUCAAAAGGGAUCAAUGGGAUCCGUGUAGUGCCCUGGAGGUUUCAUUCCCAGCUGUCUGAUAGCAUCCACGCUGCCGAGCCCUUCCAGCGAUGUCUGAAUGUGUCCCAUCUGGAAAAGUUUAGGAAAAACCACGUGGGUGGGAAUUGCAGGACUGCCUCAGGUAGGGGGUUUGCAGGGAUUUUUUUGGCAAGCAAGCUGCUAGGUAGCCUGCACUCAGCACAUCUCCAGCACCCCUGGGAUUUAUAGCGCUAUUUGGCUGCUGCGAAGCGAGACCGUAAUGGCUUACACCAAGCCGUGACUAAGUGAGCUGGAAAAAAUGAAGUGGGAAAAAUGUUCCCCUCCUCGGCAGCCGUGGCUUGGCAGGUGAAGUGCCGUGAAGAAAAUGACUAGCACCAGCAGAACCUGUGAGGAGCCGAUGGUGCCAUCAACCACCACCUGCAGAACUGCUUCUCUGACAUUACUGUCCAGUGUUGGCCAUGUGUCUCUCUGUAUUUCCUCCAGCUGGAUGUAGCUGUGGGAAGAAGAUCCCAACACAGGGCUGUGUCCCAGGACAGGCAUUGGUGUACAGCAGACAUCCCAGGUGCUUGUGGCUGGGAUGUCAGCAGGGACCUUCUCUGGAGCAACCUAUGGGAAUGUGGGCAUGUGGUGUGAGGGUGCAGCCUAGAGGAUGGUGAGCUCGUGUGCCUCCUUUGGUUUUAGUCUCUUAAAGGUCAUCUCUGCUGGCCACUAAUAAGUUGUAAAAAAAUAAGACAAAUGCUAGAGACUAGAUGUCAUCGAAGCUACUCAAUGGCAAUAAAAAUAGGGGGAUUUAUUUAAAUUGGACUGUAUUUGAAAGUCUAUUUUAAUCUAGUCCCUAUGCUCCAUUCAUCCUGUUGUUUGGGCAUCGUUUUCAAGGCUGCUGACCCCUGAGUGUGUAGAUGCAUAUGCGGAGAUGGGAGUGCAUUUUCACAGUAGUCGUGCAGGCAUUCAUGUCAAAACUGGGGGUGAACUUGUCCCCACCAGCUGUGUUUGCAGUAAUGUGUGUCCUCUUUCGAUGUACGAUGGGUUGUGCCUGACUCCAAAACCUUGUAUCUUCAGUUCGGAUUAAGGCUCUAGGUCUGGUCAGCAGGGGGUAGAGCAGGGGACUUGAAAGCAGAAAUCUGGUUUCUAUUUGAGGCGGUGCCACUGCAACAUGCUUUAUAAGAGGGCUGGUGGAUUAUGCCUUUCCCACAGCCAAAGGGAAAUGUACUCAAAAGGGAGUGUUAAAAGGCAGCCAAGGGAAAGAGGAAAGGGGUGAUGUGAUCUGAUACCCGCUGACCUCUCUUGUACAGACAUAUCUCCCCUUCUCUUGGGUACCCUGAGAAACACACAACCCUCCACAGAACGGAUGUUCUCCGAAUAUUCUCCCUCACGCCCUUUUUUCCCCUUCCUUUAGCCCUUGCUCUGUUUAGAAAUUCCCAUUUGUUUGCCUGUCUGGUUUCCAUAACCUCACUGUCACUGAAGCAAUGAGGAAAACCUCGUGUUAGCGGCUUAGCAGUGGAAGUUCAGCUCAGUCCAGCUCUGGGCAGUUCUGGGUUUGCUCUUCCUUUGCUUUUUGGUUUAGGAUUUUUCUUUUUCCACUACCAUGUCCAUUUCUACAGAAGCAGCUGACACCUUAGUCACAAGAUCAGAGUCACAGACCUACCCAAGAUCUUAAUAUCCAGUUGUAUGUUUGUGUGUGCAUUUUCUUUUUCAGGGCAAGUACAUAUUUUAAGGAUGGAAUAACAGCUUGUCCAAGAAUCAACAGUCCGCAGGGAGCCAACUAGUCUAGCAGCCAAGGCUUGUGCUGUUUCCUUGAGGUUUUGGGGAUGGGUUGCUUGCCUGUCCUCUUACAUAAAAGCAGAGCAAAUUGUCAGAAUAAACACAUUUUUAAAUAUACGGCACCAUCAGUCAGAGCUUAGGAGAAGCUCAUUGGCUGGAAAAGAGAUCAAGGCAACUGGGAAUUUGGAUGACCUGACUGGAGUGUUUGGACUAAAAGGUUCUUUUUCAUUCACUGGAGCUAGUAAUUUUUUUUCUUUUUUGUCUUUAGGUAAUCAUCCAGGAAAGAAAUAAAAUAUCCUUCUCUUUCCUCCAGGCAGUGAAUCUGGAAUCAGAAUCCUAUUGCAUUAUUUUAUCAUUUUAUUUUUUUGGUAAGGACAGAUUGCUACUGGGUGUGAGUCAGAAGGAGCCAGCAUGCAGCGCUGCUGUCUGAGGUGGUUCAUUGCUCACCAGUGCACAAGCCAGUGCUUAAUUCAGGUUAACUAUGGUUGUCUGGAGAUGAUACCCCAAGUUUUACAGUCUGGGUUAAGUCAGCUUUAAUGAACCCUGCCCAAGGAGGGAGCUCUGGCGGGAAUUACACUGAGCAGAAGAGCCUGGUAUGUUGCUUUUUAGGUGAGCCGCAUGACAUUCCUGCACAGUUGGUCAAUCACGGCAAGAGGAGAGGUCCUUGAUGUUGUUCUCUCUCAAGAGAUGCCAUCAGGACUCUACCAGGACAAACCCCUGCUCCCUGCGCAUUGCGUGGUGUGCAGGUUUCCCUGUGGUUACACCAAGCCUGGAUGAGAGGCAAGGUGGGACAACUUAUUGAGUCACCUUUCCUCCAUAUCCCCAGAGCAGCAGGGCACUGUCUGCGACAAACAUAAAUGAGUUGUCUAUGAAAUUUCAUUAAAUUUACAGGCAGUGAUUGUUAUUCCAGACCAAGGAGAGGAGAUGGAAAGAGGCUGAGGUCCAGCUAGGAAUUGGCUAGACUAGUUCUUGGAUUGUUUUCCACGCUGUGGUUAUCCUUAUCUGCAUCUGGAAACUGGAGCGUGUUGUGUGUGUUUGCAAGAGCAAGCGGAUGUGUGAAGUGUUCUGGCAAAGUCAGAAAUCUCGUUUUCCCUUCAAUAUAAUGCAGCCUGAUUAGGUUGUUAUUGACAUGCUGAGAACCUGCUAGGGUUGUUACAUCUCUGUGGAAAGGCAUCUGUCUGUUCCUCUCCUCCCCGCUGCCUGGAAGGGAUACAGAGCUGGAAGUGGGAAGGACCUUGCAGGCUGCAAAUCCAGCUGUGAAAUAAAUCUGUUGGGAAGGCACCGUCUGCCUGCCAGCUGACCAGCAGUUUGACGAUAUAUGUGGAACUGUGACCCAAUUAAGAGCAGUUUGGAACAAUUAGUAAUUCCCUAAUGGGGGAGGGGGAGAACAAAAAAGAAAAAAAAAAAAAAACAAACCCUCAUAAUAAAAAACUCAAAACAAAAUGCUGUAGCUGGCUGGAUGUUUUUCAUCGUGUAGAUCAUUGCUAACAAGAGUUACCGGCAGUGUUUGGUGACCAGACUUGUCUGACUUGAUUACACCAGCUCAGAAAUGUGCGGUUUUGCACGAUCUUUAUUAUCUUUGACUGUUUGUGCUAAAUUGGCACCAUAAGAUGGUCAGAUAAUGGUAAUUCUCACAUUUCAAAUUUGCCUUUGCAAACUGUGGACAGAGUCAGUCAAAAUAUCUGGGGUGUUGCUGUUGUUGAUCACAACGGACCCAGCCUCAAAAGUCCUUAUACUGAAAGUUCCUUGAAGAUGGAUUUGUCUGCAGAAUGAUUUUGGGUUCAGUAAAAUUGCAUCUUUCAGUGAAAUGACAUUUUUUCUCACCAGUUUAUUUAUAUUCAUCGUAAUUGUCUCCUUGUGAUGCCUCUUAUUCAUUUGUUAGAUCCACUUGUCUUGUAUCUUGUUCUGACCUCAAGUGCUUUUUGGGGUAAGCCUGCCUUUCAAGAAUAUGCAUGAUUGGUACCAUAGAAAUAGUUUUCGUGUGCUUGCAAGAAGUGCAUUGCUAAGGGAAGCAAGCAGGGAAGCCUGGAGAGAUAAGCAGAAAAUGACUACAUGAAGAAAAGGAAAGAAUUAAAAUAGAUGACAAGGAGUUAAUCAAAUAAACACAGGCCCUUUUCAAAAAUUUCACAGCUUCUGUUUUGUUUAAGUGGUCUGAAUCUUACGGUGAUUGCACUGGCCAACCCUUGAUGUUUUUCUGUCUGAUUAGAGCUGGAUUGUAGUGGCCAUGAUGAGUUACCACAACAGUCUAUUAUUGGCAUUGUUAACUAGUGUCCCUCAUUAAAUUAAACUGAAAGGGGCAGAGAAGGGAAUCGUUUCAAGGUGUUCCUCAGAUCAUAAUUAUUUAAAUGUAUUAUAAAGGAUAAAUUUAUUUUAAUUUAUCAGGGUGGCCUUUUUUUUUUUUCUUUCAUCUAUAAAUUCAUGCUUUGAGGAGAGUUAAUUUACUAUGCAAAGAAUUUUUGAAGGUCAUAUUCAGUGCCAUUAACAUUGUACAGAGGACCUUUGAGAAUCGCUGUUUGUCUGUGCAGGUAUUUCUGUGGCCCCAUGUUGCUCUAUGUACCAGAUGCCAUUUAUCUACCAACACAGUAGGCACCUUUCUGUGCACUGUGUCCAGAUACUAGAGAUGAAAUUAUUGUAUAUUAAAAUACAGAAACAUCAGGAGGGAGCUGUCACUUUCUUCAGUCCUGGCUUGCAUAUCUAUGAAGAGGGCCAAUUAGAUACGGGUGGAGGAAGAGCUGGAUCUCUGAAGGAAAUACUGUUUUGGGGACUGGAGUAGGAAUAUGAUCUGAUGGGCUUGUUUUGGCUUUCAUUCUGUGAACGCCUAGUGAGAAAUUAGGUGGCAUGUUUCUGUAUGUGCUCUAGGGGAUGAGUUUUGGCCGUUAUAUGUGAUAUGGUUAAACCAGAAAAUCCCCAUGUUAUCAGUUGUGUUGCUGAGAGUUACAGUCUCCUUGUAUCAGCUACGCUGCCUCUUAAUAAGCUGAAGGAGAAAUCCAAGGAGAGCCUAACCUUGUUCUGUUUUCAGCAAUGCGCUCAAAAUUGUAAAUAUUCUUGACUACUCCUGUUUUUUGCCAUGAAAACGACACAAGGUGCAAAUGUGACACCUCACAGUCUAUCAGUGGUGGGAAAAGAAUCCCACCUCUGCUUUGCAUUUUGUUGGGUGUGGGAGCAAUUGUGCACUUGUAGUCUGAGUAGCUCUAUUUAUUUUAUUUUCCUUUCUUUUAUAUAAUGGAAAAUAAGGAACAAAAGUAAAAUAUCUACAGGAUAACUUCAUUGUUGCAGAAACAAGCUACAAAAGUGACCGCAACUCAGAAACUGAAACAGCGGUUAUUUCCUAGUGGUGGUCGGUACUUGGGCAAUACCUAGAAAACAAGUCACUAGAGCUACAGUCUUCUGCCUCAGAAAUCUCUGUAUUCCCAACUGCUUUUUUGUCUGUUAAAUAAUAUGGGCAUAUGAUUUGAGCCCUGAGACUUAAAGGAUGUAAGCAUGUACAUGAAAUUAGGCAUGUCUGUGUGUUUUGCUGAGUAAGGGUGCCCUAGUCAGGUGUUUAAAUUUUAAAUGCGUCAGAACCCUUGCUCAUAAAGGACGCAAAUUUCAGCCUAGACAGCAGUGAGAGGAAUAAACAUUAAACUCAAACCAAACUGCUAUCGAAGUAGCUCUUCAGACAAUGUAGAAUUGCACUUUAAGAUGGGCAGAGCAUCUUUAAAACCCUCUUGCAGCAGCUAAGAGCUUAUACAUUUGCUUUCAUGAGAGGCAUUACAGAUGUCUGUAAGUAUUAUAUAAACACUGGCCUGUUUGCAACAGUUUAUAAACCUAAAUAUUUUAUAAGAAAAUACUGAGCAUUUAACUUGCCUUGUAUUUUUUAUGCAGCAAUAAAAACACCAUUUUUAUCAAAAGAUGCUGGAAAAACUGACUAAUAAUGUGACACUUUGUUAUGAACUAGGAGGAAAGUUCACUAGUCCAGGAUUAAUUAGGUGCGUAAUCUGUACAGGAAUUUCUACACUAAACUGAUUAUGGCUUUCCUUGCUUUUGCAUAAAGACGCAUGUAAUUUGUGAGGAUCUUCUCUGAUGUAUCUUUAUGUCUCUGUGGCCAAAGAGGUUUCAGUGGUUCCCAACUGGACAUUGCUUGGAAAAUGGAAGUACCAUGUCUACACCUGCUGUGAUAUAUGCACAGCAUCGCGUGUCUUUGCCAAGUGACCCUCCUGCAGGAGGCAGGAAAGAGCACGUUUUAGACCUGAACGUAUUCUCCCAAAAUACAGGUACCACUUUCAAGGAGACCCAAACCAUGCCUUGAGGAAGCUACAAUGAAUUGCUUGAAUCCAAAAUUCCCGGAUGGAUUCCAGGAGUAAUAAUUUCCCCAAUGAAAUACAAAAAGGCCCUUGGCUACAUUCCCAAAGAAACCCAUCUCCGCUGAUAUUCCAUUUGCAAGGCUGAAUGCAUUUUUUUUCUCCACUCCAAAAUUUGCAUAACACUUGGCCACUUAGAGGAGAAGAAUGAACAACACCUGACAUUUCUACUUUGAAUUAUUUAGGAAUAUUUGCUCACUGAGUGUAUAAGGCCAUCCCCAAAUGACCAGCCCGCACUAGCUGUGAAAGAUCACAACAUUAACGAUUAAAAGUGCUGGGGCUAAAACUGAGUUGAUCGUUGCAUGGGCAUGUGACAAAGAGGGACAACUGUGGACAGGGCAGGGAUGGAGGAAGCCUGGGUCCUGCUGCAGUGUCUGCCCUGCUAUGCUCUGGCUUUUUGCACCUGGAAGAAAGCAGAGAGGGGCUUGUGCUGCUUCAAACGUCAGGCUCUUUUCACAGUCUACUCUGAACCCCACGUCUCAUCCCUUUACUUGAGAGAGCUUUUUCACGGGCAUGAGAAGAAUCAUGAAGCCUGGAUUACUCAAACAAAUUCUGGACCAGUCUUCUGACUUUUAAAUGCUUCCUGGAACGACUUUGUGAAAAAUGAGCAGCCAAGCAGAAUCAACUGCUUAUGGGCUGCAGCCUCAGUCACGGUUUCGGGCCGUCUCUGCACCAUGGUGAACAUCACCGCACCGCAGCAAAUGUGGAAACACCACUGCAGCACCUACAGCUCUGCUGCCAAGGGGCACACAGACUUUGCUUCCCGGCGUUGCUCCAAGGAAUGGAUUUACAGGCAGGAAUACCUGUGGAGACAUUUUCCUUAAAGCCUUCAUCUUCCUUCAAAAACCCGGCUCUCCUGUUCGUUCCAGCCAGCCUGGGUAGAGACCCUGGUCCUCGUCCCCUUUCUGCUGCUGUGUGUCCAUAUCAUUCAGUGCUGUGUCCCUUGGGAAAUGCAGGCUGGAGUCAGGACCCCAAACUCGAGACAAAAACACCCUUUGUCUUAAAGCUUUAUUCCCUGAUUCUAAGCUCCAUUGUCUUCAAUCAAGAUUCAAGUGACUGUUCUCAAUGCUACAUCCACCUAUGGGUAGAAACUCAGAGUGUUCUGGCCUGAACUGAGGUUAAUGUUAUUGCAAUUGGAUUCUUUGGGAAGUAUUUCAACAGAAAUACAUGGUUUCUAAGCUUGCUUUUAAAAAUGACACUCAGAUUCUGACACCUUUCUGCAUUCUAGAUCUGGGCUUUAGCAGCAAGACCAAACAUUCCUGGUAAAUGUAUGUGUGCUAAUAAAUGCAAACUCCUUGCCAAAUCCAUAUGCCCCACAAUAUGCAAGAAGCAUCAGAAGUGAAGAGUAAAUUAAAUCUGAGACUGUUUCCUGGUUCUACACUACAGGUUGCACAAAUCUAAAGCAGAUGAAAGUUACGGCCGAAUUGUGUUGCACGGGUUUCAUUCAGGACAACUUUGCUGCUGUCAGCUAGCCAGUAACUUCUACUCUAGCCAUCAAGUGUGAUCACUAAAAAUUCAAGAUAGAUGAAUAAACUGAGGCGGGGAGCCAUGAUUAAACCUGUGAGUCAGGCAGUGAAAAGAGCUGGAAUUAGACCCAGGUACCAGUCCCUGGACCACCCCAUGGAACAAGAGUCUCUUAGCUGCCAGCGGUCUCAUAGACUUGGUGCUACCAGGUACGGCUGAUGCCAACAGGAGUGGAGGACAACCAACAUCCUCCCGUAAAUCGCUGGGCACUAAGCUGUUCAGAAGCAGUUUGUUUUUACCACCAAAAGGUAUUAUUUCAUCCUUUUUUCCCCCCAGCAUUCAUAUUUUCCCUUUUACUCCUGUUAUUUUUGUUCCAUUUAGCAAAUACAACUUUUUUUCCCCCU